Molecule: non-coding RNA, 991 nt
Organism: Paramuricea clavata
Lineage: Eukaryota; Metazoa; Cnidaria; Anthozoa; Malacalcyonacea; Plexauridae
Source: the annotation of a GenBank genome assembly
GUUUCCCAAAAUGAAGUGCGAUUCAUGUUUAUUCCAUACAGUUUAUCAAGAAUAGAACACUGGAUUGCUUCUAGUGUUACCAUGCAUACUGUUGUAUGUUGAUUAUUCGUUGGAUUUCCAACCAUGAAAUAACAGUUAACACCAUAUCUGUGUGUGAUGGAUAUACUGUUGGUGCAUGAAUACUUGAUGGUUGUGAAAAAUUUAUCAAUUUCAUUUGUGUUUCAGUUUCUCUUCGGCACUGUUCCCAGGUAUAAAUAUGGAGUUCUACGUAAUUCUAUAUAUCAACGUUCUUUUCAUGUACAGCAUAUGGGCCGGUACACAUCAAUUAGAAGUUAUUUUGUAAUAAAAUGCUUUCAGUAAUAUGUCGAAUAUCUGGCCUUUCACAACAACUGUUAAUGUUAUCCUACCAAUUUAAUAAAAAUGAAAUCCAGAAAUGAAAAAGCACCUUGAUAUUAAUCAAACUGCAAACUUUCAGAUCGUAUUUUAUAUGAUUUGUAUAUACAGCUGAUUCAAUUAAGGCAGACUUUCCAAAGUCCUUUCCGGCCAGACCCCCCAUCAGCCCCUUCGCCAUCUCUCCCCACUACAAUACUUCAUGUAAACACGUCAUAUGGGCAUCACUGUUUUUUUACAAAGAGACGCCUGGGUACGAGGCAGGGCCAGACCCUUCGAUGGCGCGCUUCGACUUGUGGCAAGUCUACAAUUAAGCUUGUCCUUCCAAAACCUAAACCUUAAACUCCGAGCGCGCAAGGGAUGGGUUUUCACCUAUUAGGCCCUUAAACUCAGAAAAUUGCCUUUGCAGCAAGUAUGUUUUCUGUCGUGAGUCUUCUACAGGGUGUAUAAAAAAGAACGGAGUCGUCCUAAAUAUCCUUAUUUCUAUCGUAAAAUAAACUACCAUACUUUCGUUUUGUGCUCAAUUUAAAGCUUGUUUUUUCAUCUUUCGAAUGAAGGAUUUCUUGAAAAUUUUGAACUAAAGCUAAUCGCAAUAAAACUG